RNAcentral lists this transfer RNA (72 nucleotides) under Stegodyphus dumicola. Its description in RNAcentral is "tRNA-Gln". It matches the Rfam family "tRNA". From Rfam's summary of the family: Transfer RNA (tRNA) molecules are approximately 80 nucleotides in length. Their secondary structure includes four short double-helical elements and three loops (D, anti-codon, and T loops). Lineage: Eukaryota; Metazoa; Arthropoda; Arachnida; Araneae; Eresidae. The record is from RNAcentral.
GGUUCAAUGGUGCAACGGUUAGCACUCUGGACUCUGAAUCCAGCGAUCCGAGUUCAAGUCUCUGUGGAACCU